This 293-nucleotide ribosomal RNA is filed under the name uncultured bacterium. RNAcentral describes it as "partial 16S ribosomal RNA". It matches the Rfam family "Bacterial small subunit ribosomal RNA", at positions 505 to 796 of the family's 1533-position model. The record is from RNAcentral.
GUGUCAGCAGCCGCGGUAAUACGUAGGGGGCGAGCGUUGUCCGGAUUUAUUGGGCGUAAAGAGCUCGUAGGCGGUUGGGUAAGUCGGGUGUGAAAACUCAGGGCUCAACUCUGAGACGCCACUCGAUACUGCUCUGACUCGAGUCCGGUAGGGGAGCGUGGAAUUCCCGGUGUAGCGGUGAAAUGCGCAGAUAUCGGGAGGAACACCAGUGGCGAAGGCGGCGCUCUGGGCCGGAACUGACGCUGAGGAGCGAAAGCGUGGGUAGCAAACAGGAUUAGAUACCCUGGUAGUCC